GGGUUGUGAGGUUAAGCGACUAAGCGUACACGGUGGAUGCCCUGGCAGUCAGAGGCGAUGAAGGACGUGCUAAUCUGCGAAAAGCGUCGGUAAGGUGAUAUGAACCGUUAUAACCGGCGAUGUCCGAAUGGGGAAACCCAGUGUGAUUCGUCACACUAUCGUUAACUGAAUACAUAGGUUAACGAGGCGAACCGGGGGAACUGAAACAUCUAAGUACCCCGAGGAAAAGAAAUCAACCGAGAUUCCCCCAGUAGCGGCGAGCGAACGGGGAGCAGCCCAGAGUCUGAAUCAGCUUGUGUGUUAGUGGAACGGUCUGGAAAGUCCGACGGUACAGGGUGAUAGUCCCGUACACCAAAAUGCACAGGCUGUGAACUCGAAGAGUAGGGCGGGACACGUGGUAUCCUGUCUGAAUAUGGGGGGACCAUCCUCCAAGGCUAAAUACUCCUGACUGACCGAUAGUGAACCAGUACCGUGAGGGAAAGGCGAAAAGAACCCCAGCGAGGGGAGUGAAAAAGAACCUGAAACCGUGUACGUACAAGCAGUGGGAGCACCUUCGGGUGUGACUGCGUACCUUUUGUAUAAUGGGUCAGCGACUUAUAUU
RNAcentral lists this ribosomal RNA (601 nucleotides) under Klebsiella pneumoniae. Its description in RNAcentral is "partial 23S ribosomal RNA". It matches the Rfam family "Bacterial large subunit ribosomal RNA", at positions 1 to 634 of the family's 2925-position model. Lineage: Bacteria; Pseudomonadati; Pseudomonadota; Gammaproteobacteria; Enterobacterales; Enterobacteriaceae. The record is from RNAcentral.